GAUGAACGCUGGCGGCGUGCCUAAUACAUGCAAGUCGAGCGAACAGAUAAGGAGCUUGCUCCUUUGACGUUAGCGGCGGACGGGUGAGUAACACGUGGGUAACCUACCUAUAAGACUGGAAUAACUCCGGGAAACCGGGGCUAAUGCCGGAUAACAUUUUGAACCGCAUGGUUCUACAGUGAAAGGCGGCUUUGCUGUCACUUAUAGAUGGACCCGCGCCGUAUUAGCUAGUUGGUGAGGUAACGGCUCACCAAGGCAACGAUACGUAGCCGACCUGAGAGGGUGAUCGGCCACACUGGAACUGAGACACGGUCCAGACUCCUACGGGAGGCAGCAGUAGGGAAUCUUCCGCAAUGGGCGAAAGCCUGACGGAGCAACGCCGCGUGAGUGAUGAAGGUCUUCGGAUCGUAAAACUCUGUUAUUAGGGAAGAACAAAUGCGUAAGUAACUGUGCGCGUCUUGACGGUACCUAAUCAGAAAGCCACGGCUAACUACGUG
This 497-nucleotide ribosomal RNA is filed under the name uncultured bacterium. RNAcentral's name for it is "partial 16S ribosomal RNA". It matches the Rfam family "Bacterial small subunit ribosomal RNA", at positions 28 to 507 of the family's 1533-position model. The record is from RNAcentral.